AGGUGGGAGGCUUGGAAGUGUGGACGCCAGUCUGCAUGGAGCCGACCUUGAAAUACCACCCUUUAAUGUUUGAUGUUCUAACGUUGACCCGUAAUCCGGGUUGCGGACAGUGUCUGGUGGGUAGUUUGACUGGGGCGGUCUCCUCCUAAAGAGUAACGGAGGAGCACGAAGGUUGGCUAAUCCUGGUCGGACAUCAGGAGGUUAGUGCAAUGGCAUAAGCCAGCUUGACUGCGAGCGUGACGGCGCGAGCAGGUGCGAAAGCAGGUCAUAGUGAUCCGGUGGUUCUGAAUGGAAGGGCCAUCGCUCAACGGAUAAAAGGUACUCCGGGGAUAACAGGCUGAUACCGCCCAAGAGUUCAUAUCGACGGCGGUGUUUGGCACCUCGAUGUCGGCUCAUCACAUCCUGGGGCUGAAGUAGGUCCCAAGGGUAUGGCUGUUCGCCAUUUAAAGUGGUACGCGAGCUGGGUUUAGAACGUCGUGAGACAGUUCGGUCCCUA
This 496-nucleotide ribosomal RNA is filed under the name Escherichia coli. RNAcentral's name for it is "partial 23S ribosomal RNA". It matches the Rfam family "Bacterial large subunit ribosomal RNA", at positions 2145 to 2640 of the family's 2925-position model. The record is from RNAcentral. Lineage: Bacteria; Pseudomonadati; Pseudomonadota; Gammaproteobacteria; Enterobacterales; Enterobacteriaceae.